GGGUGAGUAACACGUAGGUAACCCCCCUAGAAGCGGGGUACAACAUUUGGAAACAGAUGCUAAUACCGCAUAACAGCGUUGUUCGCAUGAACAACGCUUAAAAGAUGGCUUCUCGCUAUCACUUCUGGAUGGACCUGCGGUGCAUUAGCUUGUUGGUGGGGUAACGGCCUACCAAGGCGAUGAUGCAUAGCCGAGUUGAGAGACUGAUCGGCCACAAUGGGACUGAGACACGGCCCAUACUCCUACGGGAGGCAGCAGUAGGGAAUCUUCCACAAUGGGCGCAAGCCUGAUGGAGCAACACCGCGUGAGUGAAGAAGGGUUUCGGCUCGUAAAGCUCUGUUGUUAAAGAAGAACACGUAUGAGAGUAACUGUUCAUACGUUGACGGUAUUUAACCAGAAAGUCACGGCUAACUACGUGCCAGCAGCCGCGGUAAUACGUAGGUGGCAAGCGUUAUCCGGAUUUAUUGGGCGUAAAGAGAGUGCAGGCGGUUUUCUAAGUCUGAUGUGAAAGCCUUCGGCUUAACCGGAGAAGUGCAUCGGAAACUGGAUAACUUGAGUGCAGAAGAGGGUAGUGGAACUCCAUGUGUAGCGGUGGAAUGCGUAGAUAUAUGGAAGAACACCAGUGGCGAAGGCGGCUACCUGGUCUGCAACUGACGCUGAGACUCGAAAGCAUGGGUAGCGAACAGGAUUAGAUACCCUGGUAGUCCAUGCCGUAAACGAUG
This 722-nucleotide ribosomal RNA is filed under the name uncultured bacterium. RNAcentral's name for it is "bacterial SSU rRNA". It matches the Rfam family "Bacterial small subunit ribosomal RNA", at positions 104 to 811 of the family's 1533-position model. The record is from RNAcentral.